UUGUAUGUAAGUUUUUAGUUCAAUGUAACAUGUUAACGGAUGCCUUAAGUUUGCUCGUAUAGCAUAUGCUUUCAUAUUUUGAUUUGAUAUUCAGUAGAUCAAAUUUGUUGUAUCUAUAUCAGGUAUAUCUUCUUGUUAUGCUAAUCUAGCAUGGCACAUUUCGUAAAUGAUUUCCCAUUUGUUUCUACUACUUCUGUUUUGAUGUAGCUUUUCAGUUGUUCAUGUGCGCCAUUUAUGAUCAGGGAUGCUCGAGUCAUGUGGGAUAAUAAAACCGGACACUCCAGAGGUUAUGGCUUUGUCUUAUUCUGCAGUCAGCAGGCAUGCACAACUCAGAUCAUUUCCCUUUUGCAUUUUGCAGUAGCUUUACCAUUUUGAUGGCAUGAGUCAAAUACCCUCGAUGUAAUAUUUUGGUGUCUGAGUGAUACCGAUGGCUUUUGCAAUGCCUAAAUUUUAACUCGGUGAAUUAUAUUUUUCUUGUGUUACCAAUCAAGGAUCCUCUCUUCUCUCGGAAUAUCGAUGUUUCUUUCUGACAUUUCUCAAAAGCGUAUCACAGCCACCUUACAUUUUCCGUGUCAUAUGGAAGGUCUUCUUUGUUAAUUGAGUGAAUAUUUUUCUUGUAGUUUUACCUUUGGUUACUUCUAUGUCUCAUUCUGUUGAUUUACGGUACAAUAAUUAUAUGUAUUAGCGUUAGGUCCUUGCAAAGAAAAGGUCAUCUUUGUGUAAGUGAUUCUACUCAAUAUGUAAUAAUGUUUUUACUACAUGAGAUGGAACUGGGCUUCCGGUUAAUAAGGAAUAUUCUAACAACUGUCUAAUGCAUGCUGAUUUUUAGUAUUAUAUGUUUCCUAUUGGCAGGUUCUUUCUGUUGAGCCACUAACAUAAGCAAAUUAGGUGUGAUUGUUAACAACAACAUUUUAUUUAUCUGUAAAUUGCAGGCACUGGACAGGUUUAAUACAGCAGUUGUGUCACCAAUAUAUUACGUGAUGUUUACUUUGUUAUGCUUGUUCUUGAUAAGAAAAUCAAGCAUUUGGCAUCUAUUGCAAUCUGGAGAUGAUCCAUAUGUGGCCUAAUUUUCUACUACUGAAUCACAAUGCUAUGUUGUGAUUACUGGCAGCAAGAGUCAGCAUGACCGCUCAUUCUGUAUGCUUUAAACUAUUUUAUUGGAGUUUACUAAUUCCAUGUACUGGAAGCAACAGCCUACAAGUUUGAUAUGUGAAAGGUUUAUUAUCUUAUAUCUUGCUUGUGUAGUGUAGGGUGGUUCGGAGGGCACCCGAAGAGAGAUCGUAUCAUAUUUCCUAUCAGUUGUUCUCUGGAUCUUCUCCCCUUCACAUAAGUAACCACACAUUCAUAUGAAGGAAUUCAUAUCUCUUACAUAUCAUUGCAUCUCACACAUAUAUAAUUACUUGAGCCAGGGUUCUUGCUUGAGAAUUGAUGGUGUUGAUGAUGCCAAAGGAUUUUCAUCAUUAUUGGUAAUGUUGCUACAAAUCAACCACAACUUUGAAUAGUAUUGAUAUAUACAGUUCGGCCUCUUCUCUGUAGACUUUAAAGGAUGGAGAAAAAAGAAUGCUCUAUGAUCAGGUAACAAUUUAAGCCCUCUGAUUACACAUGUCUAUGUUUCUUUGACUGCCAAAGGCUAUUUAUUUUUGUAUGUUCAGGAGUUACAAAGAAUUUAUUGCUUGAAACUUAAGAUAAUUAGACAACAAUACAUUUUGACUAAUUGUCUGAUUUUUGUUUGCCUAUACUGUUUGCAAGAGUCAUCAACUUGUCUAUUCUUUUAUUGAAUUCUGCGUAUAACAAAUUAUUAGGAAGACUUCUCAAAACGUGUAAAUGAAUCGAGAUCAGCCAUCUAUCUCCAACACCAUGCACCAAUGCUUGCAACUCACGCAAAUGUACUUUAUCGUGCGCACAUGUAUGACCUUACCGCUGUCGUUGUUAUUCUAUUUUUUCUAAAAAAAACUGAUGUCAUUAGGCUCUAAAUUUGUAGUAACUAAACAUCAAAUACAUACUGUAUCUCAGUUUGCCAAUAUUUUGGUGGUCUCUGCAAUGUUGUUUGCAGGAUUGCCGAUUUUACUUUACAAAGAGUAGCAUUUAAAAAGCGAAUGACAUUUGAUAAAUUGCUGAAAGGUGGUGGUUGCACACUAUGGGGGACAGUGUCCAAGAGAGGGCUCGGAGAUGGUUAGAGGUUAGCUACUGUUCACUAUCUAUCAAUCCUAUCUUCAUGUACCUGUGUGUGUUUGGUACAGUACUUGAUCUCUUAUGAUUUAGGGAGCUCUUCAGAUCUAAGAAGAAAUUGAUGUAAGAUUUAUUUUCAUAUUCUUGGAAACUCAUGCUAUGGAGAAUCAUAAUGAUAUUCUCAUUGUACAGGCGGUGCAAGGUCUAACAUGAUUGUGCUGAUGCUCUCUCCUUUGUAGAGGACCAUCCCGAUGUCUGGGUUUCGGCAUGGUGGUGAGGUGCCUGAGGUCACGGCUCUGAGUCAGGAACCUCUUAUUGAGCGUGCCAGUACUUCAUGGUGGUGACGUAUGUCUCGAUGAUAGUCCAGUUUGAUAAAAUGCCAAUAGGAGCAGGUCUGUGAAGCCAAUAUGAGCCGGUCAGUAAACUAGUGAUGCAGUCUCACUGUUCAUCGUCUCUAGACGCACCUAUAUGAUCCAUGUAUCUAGUUUCUCUCCAAAACUUGUGAUGCCUGCGUUGUGAUGAUCCGAGGAACUCUGCCUCUAUUUUGGAGAUCGCCCAUCUUUUGGAGACCGCUGAACUUUGAUUUGAACCGAUGAAUGUGUCUUUGUGAUCAGUCAUCCACUUUGUAAGAUUGUCAAAUCUCUGUUAAGCUAUCAGCAUAGAUGAAACUACUUGCUUGCUCUGCUUUAUGAAUGAACACUCUUCUACUGCAGUUCUAUUCUCUGUAUUAUAUUUUUAACCAU
RNAcentral lists this long non-coding RNA (2912 nucleotides) under Triticum aestivum (bread wheat). RNAcentral describes it as "long non-coding RNA (TAES_LNC017781)". The record is from RNAcentral. Lineage: Eukaryota; Viridiplantae; Streptophyta; Magnoliopsida; Poales; Poaceae.